UUUCAUAAAAAGAUAGACUGGCGCUCCC
Molecule: non-coding RNA, 28 nt
Filed under: Rattus norvegicus (Norway rat)
Lineage: Eukaryota; Metazoa; Chordata; Mammalia; Rodentia; Muridae
Source: RNAcentral